RNAcentral lists this ribosomal RNA (117 nucleotides) under Clostridioides difficile. Lineage: Bacteria; Bacillati; Bacillota; Clostridia; Peptostreptococcales; Peptostreptococcaceae. The record is from RNAcentral.
UCUGGUUAUAAUAGCAGAGAGGAUACACCUGUUCCCAUUCCGAACACAGAAGUUAAGCUCUCUAGCGCUGCUGGUCGUUGGGGGGAAACGGCCUGGGAGAGUAGGACAUAGCCAGGU